This 1395-nucleotide ribosomal RNA is filed under the name metagenome. Its description in RNAcentral is "bacterial LSU rRNA". It matches the Rfam family "Bacterial large subunit ribosomal RNA", at positions 697 to 2157 of the family's 2925-position model. The record is from RNAcentral.
AUGUCGCAGGGAUUAGACGCGAAACCUUGUGAUCUACCCUAGGUCAGGUUGAAGGGAGGGUAAAACCUCCUGGAGGACCGAACGCGUGAACGUUGAAAAGUUCUGCGAUGAACUUAGGGGAGGACUAAAAGUGUAAUCAAACUGGGAGAUAUCUCGUUCUCCUCGAAAUAGUUUUUGGGCUAGCCUCACUAAAUUGCCCGCAGGGGUAGAGCUACUGGAUGGUGUUGAGGGGCCGCAAGCCUGCUCAUGCCAACCAAACUCCGAAUACUGCGGAUUGCAUAGUGGGAGUCAGACUGUGGGCGAUAAUGUUCAUAGUCAAAAGGGAAACAACCCAGACCACCAGCUAAGGUCCCAAAUUAAGUCUCAGUUCUUAAGGAAGUCAGGGUGCAGUGACAACCAGGAUGUUGGCUUAGAAGCAGCCACCAUUUAAACAACGCGUAAUAGCGGACUGGUCGAGGACUCUGGCGCCGAUAAUGAUCGGGAAUCAAGACUUAAACCGAAGCUGUGGGCUCCGUAAGGAGCGGUAGAGGAGCGUUGUUGCCAGCGUCGAAGCGAGAUCUUAAGGUCUCGUGGAGCGGUAGCAAGUGCGUAUGCCGGCUUGAGUAACGAUAAAACAGGUGAAAAUCCUGUUCGCCGUAAACCUAAGGUUUCCUGGGGAAGGUAAAUCCGCCCAGGGUUAGUCGGUACCUAAGGAGAGGCCGAAAGGCGUAUUCGAUGGACAGCAGGUUAAUAUUCCUGCACCGUGUUAAAGGGUUGAAGCAGCGUGACGGACUUUCGGAGUGAGUCGCACGAUUAGACGUGUGCGUCUCGAAGGAGCGAGGGCUCGAUCCCGAAGCUCACGAAGAAAGUCUCAAGAAAUAGCGUCUGUGGACUGAUAACACGUCCGUACUAAAACUGACACAGGUAGGUGGGGUGAAUAACCUCAGGCGCUCGAGAGAACAGUCGUGAAGGAACUAGGCAAAUUAACCCCGUAAGUUAGCGAUAAGGGGGCCCUCCUCGCUUCGGCGAGAGGGCGCAGAGAAAAGGCUCUGGGAACUGUUUAUCAAAAACACAGGACUGUGCCAACUCUUAUAGAGGAAGUAUACAGUCUGACGCGUGCUCGAUGCUGGAAUGUCAAGGAAGCAGGUCAGCCGCAAGGCGAAGCUUGCGACUUAAGCACCAGUCAAUGGCGGCCGUAACUCUGACGGUCCUAAGGUAGCGAAGUUCCUUGUCGGGUAAGUUCCGACGCGCAUGAAUCGCGUAAUCACUGGAGCACUGUCUCCACGACUGACUCGGUGAAAUAGAAGACGCGGUGUAGAUACCGUGUACCCGCAGCAAGACGGAAAGACCCCGUGCACCUUUACUGUAGGCUGGUAUUGGCACGAAUACGUUCUGCGUAGGAUAGGUGGGAGGCUU